GUGGUGGUUGGAGAUGUGAAGGGAUAGGCUAGUUGGUGGAUGCAUUGUUCAGCCUUACUGCUUGGGGUAAGGUGGAUUUUGACCUUCACUAUAUAACCUUUGAUAAUAUACAGUUAGAAGACAAUAAGACUGAACAAAAGCAGCAUAAAACUUAUAGGCAGCACUGUAUGCUGACAGCAAAACAAUGAGGAGCAGUUCCUUUCAAAGACAAACAGCCACUUAAUUACUGCAAAUCUGUUUCAUUGGAGAUUAGGAAUUCAUUGAGAAUCCACAUCCUCUAAUAGAACUAUUCUUCUUUUCAAAUGGACAGUUGCCAUUCGGAUGAAGGGACUUGUGAAUCCUGCACCAGCUCCAACUUUGUACAGCAUCCAAGGAGUUUAUGCUUCUUUGGAGAUCAUGUCAGUCCAGACACCUAUUUAUCCUCGCAAACACGAAGAAAUCUGCAGAUGCUGGAAAUUCAAGCAACACACACAAAAUGCUGGAGGAACGCAGCAGACCAGGCAGCAUCUAUCGGAAGAGGUACAGUCGACGUUUUGGGCCGAGACCCUUCGUCAGGACUAACUGAAGGAAGAGAUGAAACAGGUUUAUCAUCACUGCCUUACAUGGCAUGAAACUUCAAACAAGAGAAAAUCUGCAGAUGCUGGAAAUCCAAGCAACACGCACAAAAUGUUGGAGGAACUCAGCAGGCCAAACAGCAUCUAUGGAAAAGAUUACAGUUGACGUUUUGGGCCGAGAUCCUUCAUUGGGACUGAAAUUUAUGUUUUGUCAUGGAAUUUGUUGUUUUGCAACAGCAGUACAUAGUAAGAUAUAAAAAUUAUGGUAAGUUACCAAAUAAAUAAAUAGUGCAAAACAUAAGGAAUAACAAGGUGGUGUUCCUGGGUUCAUGACUCGUUCAUAAAUCUGAUGGUGGAGUGGAGGAAGCUGAUUGUAAAUCACUUGGGUGUGACAUAAGCAAAGGCCUAACACCCCAAGAGAAAGGGGAUUUCUCCUGCAUGCUUGGGGAAAAACUGACCUCUCAAGCAGUAUCUCUCGAUCAACAAAAUGAUUGUUCUGUUCAAUCAUUGGGAGUAAAUGUUUCUAAGAAGGAACCUGGCGUUUAUCUGGUGUCCUUCAUUACCUUAAGA
This is a long non-coding RNA of Mobula hypostoma (lesser devil ray), 1124 nucleotides long. RefSeq lists it as uncharacterized. The record is from RefSeq and is a predicted model, not a curated record. The transcript has 5 exons. NCBI's taxonomy places the organism in Eukaryota, Metazoa, Chordata, Chondrichthyes, Myliobatiformes, Myliobatidae.